AUGGGGCUUCCCCAAUGGAAUUCAUCUCCACUGUCCUCUUCUUUUUUCAUGCAUGCUUUAAUCCUUCUCGGGUGGUGUGGCUUGUUAGUCACCUCUGUUGUUGGCGGGAAUAAUGAGACGAACUGGUUGGCGUUGCUUGAGUUCAAAGCCAAGAUAACUAAUGAUCCUCUCCAGGUUAUGAGGUCUUGGAAUGACAGCAUCCACUUUUGUCAAUGGCGAGGGGUUACUUGUGGUCGUCGACAUCAGAGGGUCAUUGUGUUGGACCUGCGAUCUUCGAAACUGGUAGGCUUCAUAUCACCACAUGUUGGUAAUUUAAGUUUUUUGAAGAAUCUAACACUCUCAAACAACAGCUUUCAUAAUGAAAUUCCUUCAGAAAUUGACCAUUUACGCAGAUUGCAAAUCCUACAUUUGUCCAAUAACACAAUUAGUGGCAAAAUUCCAAGAAAUUUAUCCCAAUGCACCAACCUCAAAUACAUUAAUUUCGGUCGCAACCUUUUGGAUGGGGAAAUCCCUGCAACUCUUGGCACUUUGUCAGAACUCCGAUUUGUUUCUUUUGUAGUAAAUAAUUUGACAAGAAGUAUCCCACCUUCUAUUGGAAACUUAUCCUCUCUAGAAGUGUUUGCUACAGCUUAUAAUAACUUGGGGGGGGGGGGGGGGGGGGGGAGUAUCCCUACUUCUUUUGGCCAAUUGCCGAAACUUACACUUUUUGGUGUCGGUUCAAAUAGGUUGUCAGGAAGAAUUCCUCCCUCAAUCUUCAAUUUGUCUUCAUUACAAACAUUUGAUGUAACAUCCAACCAAAUCCAAGGGCACCUUCCGGCGAACAUAGGUAUCACCCUACCAAAUAUUGAAUUAUUAAGCAUUGCCAUCAACCAAUUUAUUGGACCUAUCCCUAUUUCCAUAUCUAAUGCCUCAAAUCUGAAAGUACUUGAAUUUACCGGAAAUAAACUAAGAGGAAGUGUUCCUUCUUUGGAGAAGUUACAUAGAGUUUCAUUUUUUGUCAUGGCUCAUAACAAGCUUGUAAAUGAAGGAGCAAAUGACUUGAGAUUUCUAUGUUCUUUGACAAAUGCCACAUAUCUGACCACAUUGGAGAUAAAUUUCAAUAAUUUCGGAGGAGAGUUGCCGGAGUGCAUAUUCAUUUUCACAACAACUCUCAUCAAAUUUAUUCUAAAUAAUAAUAAAAUAUCUGGAAACGUUCCUAUUGGAAUAGGAAAUUUGACGAAUUUGGAGUCACUAGAUAUGUGGAACAAUAAAUUAUCAGGUCAUACUCCUUUCGAAAUUGGAAAGCUUCAUAAGUUACAAUAUUUGGAUUUAUCUGCAAACAAUUUCUUUGGGAACAUUCCAUCUUCUCUUGGAAAUUUAACUAUUUUGAUAACUUUGUAUUUAGACGAUAAUAAUCUUCAAGGAAGCAUCCCCUUAAGUCUAGGAAAGUGUGAAAAUGUGAUUGAAUUGAGUCUUGCUAAAAACAAUCUCAAUGGUACCAUAUCAUAUCAAGUAAUUGGUCUCUCAUUUUCACCAAUUUCUCUAGACUUGUCAGCCAACAAAUUUACUGGUGCCCUUCCUACAGAAUUAGGAAAUUUAAAAAAUUUAGAAUACUUGGAUAUUUCUGAAAACAUGUUGUUUGGAAAAAUUCCAACAAGUCUUGGUAGCUGUGUAAAACUAGAAUCUCUAGUCAUGAGAAGCAACUUCUUUCAAGGGGUCAUUCCUUCAUCUUUGGAAUCAUUAAGGGGCCUUCAACUUUUAGAUCUUUCUAAAAACAAUUUCUCUGGCAAUAUUCCAAAAUUUUUGGAGAGCUUUAUCUUCUUGAAGUUAUUGAAUUUGUCUUAUAACAAUUUUGAAGGGGGAGUACCAACAAAUGGAGUUUUCAAGAACAUAAGUGCAACCGUGGUUAAGGGAAACAGUAAGUUAUGUGGAGGCAUGCCAAAGUUUGAUCUUCCUAUCUGUAAAUACAAUAAACCCAAGAAGAGGAAGUUGACUCUUUCCUUGAAGCUAAUAAUCUCUUUACUUUCUGGCUUUUUUGGAAUAACUUUGGUGAUUUCGUUUCUACUUCUCUUCUCUUUUAAAAGAAAGAGGAGGGAAAGUAUUUUAAAUAAUUCACAAAAUUUAUUUUUGAAUGUAUCUUACCAAAGUCUCCUAAAAGCUACAAAUGCAUUUUCCUCCACUAAUUUAAUUGGUGUGGGAAGCUUUGGAUCUGUGUAUAGAGGAAUUCUUGGUCAUGAUAGAUGUAUAGUUGCUGUCAAGGUGCUCAACCUUUUGCACCAUGGAGCUUCCAAAAGUUUUAUUGCUGAAUGUGAGGCUUUGCGAAACAUCAGACAUCGGAAUUUGGUAAGGGUACUCAUACUAUGUUCAGGUGUUGACUAUCAAGGUCAUGAUUUCAAAGCAUUAGUAUACGAGUUCAUGACUAAUGGCAGCUUAGACGAGUGGUUGCAUCCGAUUUCAAGAAUAAAUGAGGUUCUUGAGGAACAAAAGAAUUUGAAUCUUCUUCAAAGAUUGAAUAUUGCUAUUGAUGUUGCAAAUGCAUUGGAAUAUCUUCAUCAUCGUUGCCAUUCACCAAUUGUUCAUUGUGACCUCAAGCCUAGCAAUGUUCUUCUUGAUGAUGAAAUGAUUGGACAUGUUGGCGAUUUUGGCUUAGCAAGGUUCCUUCGUGAGGCCACCCAAGAGUGUUUCACUAAUCAAUCAAGCUCUAUCGAAUUAAAAGGAACAGUUGGUUAUGCUCCUCCAGAAUAUGGUAUGGGAAAUGAGGUGUCAACUUUUGGUGAUGUCUACAGUUAUGGUAUAUUAUUAUUGGAGAUGUUCACAAGAAAAAGGCCCAUUGAUAACAUUUUCAAAGACGACUUGAACCUUCAUGAUUUCGUUAGAGGAGCUUUGCCUGAACGAGUGAUUAACAUUGUGGAUCCUACUAUUCUUUUGGAAAGAGAAGAUAUGGAAACAAGGACAAAUGACACUCACAUUCAAAAUCAAAUAGGAUUUCCCAAAAUUUUGGAGUGCUUGAUUUUGAUAUUUGGAAUUGGAGUUUCUUGUUCUAUGGAAUCUCCAAGAGAAAGGAUGAACAUUAGUGAUGUUGUAGCUUAAUUGCAUUUGAUUAGAGACAAGCUCCUCAGAACAAGAAGACGCCGAGAAAGACUUCAACUUGCAGAUUUUCUCAGUAACCAAACAGUGGAGGCCACGCAAAAUGACGAAAAUUCCCUUUCACAAUCACAAACACAACCACAAACUCUCUUGAAGAACGCUCAGAAGAAGCUGCUGAAGCAGCAGAGGUACGAAGCGAAGAAGGCGGAGAAGAAAGCGCACAGAUGUAGUGUAUCAGCAUCAUCUCCAGUGAAGCUGGUUUUAAUCGGACCCUUUAAUGGGUCGGGCAAUCGGGCCAGCUGGAGACUUGAACCUGAAAGUCACGGCAUCGUAAACGCACCUGUGAAACCCAACCUCUCUUCUAUUGCACUCUUCGCACACAAUGACGCCGUUUCGAACAGCGGCGUUGCCGUUUACGAAAACGGCGCCGUUUUCUCGAUUCCCCAAACACAGACGGGUCAGGCCCAUGUUCGCCAACUACUUCUCCCUUUCGAUCAGCAACUCCCUGAUCCGAUUCUCGUACUCGACCUGAUCCACGAUCGGCGAGAAGGCGAUUUGGCUCUCAAUCCCGGCGUUGCAUCGGAGAAGCAUAAUAGAAAAUGA
RNA transcript from Quercus lobata, 3669 nucleotides. It is a transcript of the gene named probable LRR receptor-like serine/threonine-protein kinase At3g47570, with no coding region annotated. The record is from RefSeq and is a predicted model, not a curated record. The transcript is spliced from 4 exons. NCBI's taxonomy places the organism in Eukaryota, Viridiplantae, Streptophyta, Magnoliopsida, Fagales, Fagaceae.